RNAcentral lists this ribosomal RNA (774 nucleotides) under uncultured Neocallimastigales. RNAcentral describes it as "partial large subunit ribosomal RNA". It matches the Rfam family "Eukaryotic large subunit ribosomal RNA", at positions 24 to 642 of the family's 3401-position model. Lineage: Eukaryota; Fungi; Neocallimastigomycota; Neocallimastigomycetes; Neocallimastigales. The record is from RNAcentral.
UAUCUCUGUAGAGUCUGCAUAUCAAUAAGCGGAGGAAAAGAAACUAACAAGGAUUCCCCUAGUAACGGCGAGUGAAGCGGGAAGAGCUCAAAUUUGAAAUCUUCAAGGUUUGACCUUGACGAAUUGUAGUUUAAAGAAGUGUUUUCGGUUAGAGGAGUAGUAAAAGUUCUUUGGAAUAGGACAUCAUAGAGGGUGAGAAUCCCGUAUUUGACUAUUCUUUCUAGCUUUGUGAUACACUUUCAAGGAGUCGGAUUGUUUGGGAAUGCAGUCCAAAAUGGGUGGUAAAUUUCAUCUAAAGCUAAAUAUUGGCGAGAGACCGAUAGCGAACAAGUACCGUGAGGGAAAGAUGAAAAGAACUUUGAAAAGAGAGUUAAACAGUACGUGAAAUUGUCAAAAGGGAAGCGUUUGACACCAGUGUUGUUUUUCCGAAAAUCAAUUAAAAAUUGAUUCAUGCCAGGUUGUAUUGACCUUAUCAGCUUGCAAUUUGGUUUUGGGUCUCUUUUUGAUGCACUUUUCGGUUAACAAGUCAACAUCAAUUUCCUUUGCUGUAAAAAGGUAAGAGGAAGGUGGCUUCAAUUUCGGUUGAAGUGUUUAUAGCCUUUUAUCUCUGCAGUCGGGGAGAUUGAGGUCUGCAGCGUAGAUCCUUCGGGGCUAGAUACAUUUAUGCUAAGUUAUAGCUUUUCAUAGACAACUUGUUGACUAUGUUUAGUCAUGUAGCUUACUCGUAAGUGCUAUUUUACCUACGCUUAGGAUGUUGAAGACUCUACAGAGAUA